RNAcentral lists this ribosomal RNA (253 nucleotides) under uncultured bacterium. RNAcentral describes it as "partial 16S ribosomal RNA". It matches the Rfam family "Bacterial small subunit ribosomal RNA", at positions 524 to 776 of the family's 1533-position model. The record is from RNAcentral.
UACAGAGGUCUCAAGCGUUGUUCGGAUUCCUUGGGCGUAAAGGGUGCGUAGGUGGCGGGGUAAGUCAGGUGUGAAAUCUCGGAGCUCAACUCCGAAACUGCACUUGAUACUGCCUUGCUCGAGUACUGGAGAGGAGAUUGGAAUUUACGGUGUAGCAGUGAAAUGCGUAGAUAUCGUAAGGAAGACCAGUGGCGAAGGCGAAUCUCUGGACAGUUACUGACACUGAGGCACGAAGGCCAGGGGAGCAAACAGG